AGAUUGAACGCUGGCGGCAUGCCUAACACAUGCAAGUCGGACGGGAGUAGCAAUACUCUAGUGGCGGACGGGUGAGGAAUACGUAGGAAUUUGCCCUUAAGUGGGGGAUAACCCGGGGAAACCCGGAUUAAUACCGCAUGACCUCGAAAGAGCAAAGUGGGGGAUCGCAAGACCUCACGCUUUUGGAGAAGCCUACGUCGGAUUAGCUAGUUGGAGAGGUAACGGCUCACCAAGGCAACGACGGGUAGC
This 249-nucleotide ribosomal RNA is filed under the name uncultured soil bacterium. RNAcentral describes it as "partial 16S ribosomal RNA". It matches the Rfam family "Bacterial small subunit ribosomal RNA", at positions 26 to 287 of the family's 1533-position model. The record is from RNAcentral.